This is a long non-coding RNA of Cephus cinctus (wheat stem sawfly), 2831 nucleotides long. RefSeq lists it as uncharacterized. The transcript is spliced from 9 exons. The record is from RefSeq and is a predicted model, not a curated record. NCBI's taxonomy places the organism in Eukaryota, Metazoa, Arthropoda, Insecta, Hymenoptera, Cephidae.
CUUUUCAAGAUCGUCUUAUAGGUUAAUUUUUAUGUUAAAAUUGUAAUUAAAGUCUCAGAAGAUUCAACCAUUCAAAGUGAAUGACUUUGUGAAGAACAUCAGAAGUGGACUUGCAACCCACACCCCUUGACCUCGAUAGUCAAUGAUGAUUGAACGAAUACGGACGCCGGUGCACAGAUGGUACGCGGUUUUGGGUGACCAAUGACUUGGAGAAUUCGCAAACGAGAAACUCAGCCAAAUUGGAUGGCCGAACAAACCCUUAAUUGGCAAACAAAGAUCUUCUUGGUGAAUGACGAAGGCUCGUAUACAGGGAGGAUACAAUUGUCAAAUAUUGAAAGCCGUUCAAGGAUUCUCCCGAGGAUAUAAUGGACGAAAUAAAAGCAGAUAGAUGGACGAUGCAAAAAAAGUAAAAAUUAUUAUACUCACUAAAUUAAAUCGUCCCCGUACUUAUCCUGAGAGACGGCACUAAUAACGUGUGGCUUCGUGCAGAUGUCUGAGAAACAGAGGCAAUUUUUAAGCAGACUGAAACUCAAUCCCGUUACACAAGAUAAACAUGGAGAGUUGACACCUACUACGUAGAAUAAUGCGUCAGUCUAUGCGUUCGAAUGAUUUACUUAGUUUACUACAGGCCUAUUGGACGUCGGACCAUGUUCCUAUUGACGAUUCAACAACUAUUUCAUAUAAUUGCUACGAAGUAGCAACUAGACCUAACUAUAUCUAAGACAAACUAUAUCUCCAGACUGAACUAUAUCUAACUUCACAUUUCUAAAUACGUCUGGAGAACUGGCAACAAUAUUUUGAUAAUAUUUUCGACCUGCAACAAAUUAUUUCUAACAUGGAUCAUUCUACUAAACGUCCACGUGAAAAGCCAACAAAUCGUAAAGUAGGCAGAACCAGUUCCACCAUAUUCGCAACAAUGUUCCAAUCAUUGACGAUUGUAUCCAACCAACUGUCGAUAGGGUCAAGUUAACGAGGGAGUGACCAGUGGUCAAUCGAUUUACCAGCACAGCAAUAAUCGGAGCAAGACGGCCGAUAGGGGAAACUUGAAAUGUUUUUCCAAGAGACACGAAACACCAACUGGAAUUACGUACGAUGGGAUAAGCGUAUAAGUCUAGUAUAACACUGGUCAGACAUGUUUGUCCAGAAGAUGGACCCAAUGCUUUUAACUAUCACGGAUGGACACGCACUCGACCACGUAUUCCUAAGGCAGAAAUAAUUGAAGUGAAAUAGAGAACAAAUAUUUAUUAUAUGCAUGCACCAUGGCCACGUGUAUUUAUAAAACACAGAGUUCUACAAAAAAGUAUGCAUGAGCUGUCAAAAAAAAAAAUCCGAGUAAUAAUAAGGCUUUAAUCAGAAUUGCCAGGACUGAAGAAAUAUGGCUUUUUCAAUUAAAGCGAAAACUCCUGUAACCUGUUUUAGGGAUUCUAAUAAAGGUGUCUAAUUUAUUUAUAAGACCUGUACGAGCUGUUGACAUUUAAGUUACUUGCAAAUCGGCCGCUGUGGUUUCUGCCAUGAAAACGACAUAAAGAAACCAAAGAGUAGCCAGUGCGCCCGACGCGUUUCCUUAGCGGGACACGCGCUUUCGAUUUACGCCACGCGACGUCAGCACGUGAAGUCGCGUGCGUACCGGAAGCGCACUAGGACACGUGGGCUCCGUACACUUCCUAUGGAAUAACAUCGCUGAUAAGUCAUCAAUAUUAUGACCCGCGUAAAAUUCAAAUGGAUUCUCGACGUGAGUCACUGUGCUGAAGUCUAUACGAAUGAGUAUCAAGGUCGUGUCCUGAGGUAAUCUUGAAUGACGCAGAUACGACUCCAGGUGAUGAGAAAUGCAUCCACAGUCUCAUGCGUAUGUGCACGCUUAAGGAUAUGGGGGGUCCCUUUUAGAAUUGGCAACCAGGUGUGCAUACCGGUACUUUAAUCCACGUGGUAGAUUGCCAAUGAAUUCGAUGCCUUUUUACUCCACGUGAACUGGUUUUCUUUCUUUUCAAUUUAAAUUGCACAAAUAUCAUUGCUCGUGCUAAUAAUAAUAACACGUACUUGACAGUCUAUGCAAAACUGAAGAAAAAUAUAAAAUUAUUGCGUAGCCAAAAGAUUUUGUUUGUUUUAAUACGAAUUUAAAUAUUCUUUAAUUUCAUGUAGGAAUUAUAUGUAUUAUGGGACGUUGUUCUUUAUGAUUUUGCAUAAGACGAGACUGUUGUAAUUUGCUAACAGUGUAAUUUGCUAACAGUGACACAAUUUUGGCAUAUUUUCCCAUCUCCAUCGAAUCCCCAAGUGCAGAUGGGAGGCUUGUCCCGGGUGCGAAGCCAGAUUUCACUUUCUUAAGGGGGGAGAUUGAAAAGGGUGCUCCUUACUCCCCUCUGAAAAACUAGGGAACCUGUGGGAACGUGGCUGCAUAAAGAGCAGGCAUCGGAAGGAAUUACAUAAUGCAAGGAAGUCGGAAGAAACAUUUUUAAGGGGUGCCACAAUUCGGGCCACAUGCGACUCAACACUGGUUAAGAAUAGCCAAUGGGGAAGGCCACGUGAUCUACUUUUUCUCUACUCUUUCCCUUUCUUUUUUUGGACUUUUAUUAUUUUAAAAGAAGUGUGCAGGACGUGUGUAGAUUUUUGAGAUAUGAUUAGGGACAAGGCCAACCCUGUAACCUUUAUUAUGUUUUUUUAUCAAACACGCACUGACAUAACAAUUAGUAUUAACUAACACGGUUUAAAAAUAUUUAAUUAAGCCACUGCUCCCUUAUUGUUGAUUAUUUAUAAUUAAGUAAAAAUAAUAUAUCCGUUAGUUUAUAAAAAAUUUGUAAAUAAGAUAAGGAAUAAUUAAAAAUUGUUAUUACAAA